RNAcentral lists this ribosomal RNA (253 nucleotides) under uncultured bacterium. Its description in RNAcentral is "partial 16S ribosomal RNA". It matches the Rfam family "Bacterial small subunit ribosomal RNA", at positions 524 to 776 of the family's 1533-position model. The record is from RNAcentral.
UACAGAGGGGGCCAGCGUUAUUCGGCAUUAUUGGGCGUAAAGGGCGCGUAGGCGGCCAUGCGUGUCUUCCGUGAAAUCCCUCGGCUUAACUGAGGACGUGCGGAAGAAACUGCAAGGCUUGAGUCCGGGAGAGGGGGGUGGAAUUCCCAGUGUAGCGGUGAAAUGCGUAGAUAUUGGGAGGAACACCGGUGGCGAAGGCGGCCCCCUGGACCGGUACUGACGCUGAGGCGCGAAAGCGUGGGUAGCAAACGGG